Molecule: ribosomal RNA, 485 nt
Filed under: uncultured bacterium
Lineage: Bacteria
Description: partial 16S ribosomal RNA
Rfam family: Bacterial small subunit ribosomal RNA
Source: RNAcentral
AUUGAACGCUGGCGGCAGGCUUAACACAUGCCAGUCGAGCGGAGAGAGGUAGCUUGCUACUGAUCUUAGCGGCGGACGGGUGAGUAAUGCUUAGGAAUCUGCCUAUUAGUGGGGGACAACAUUUCGAAAGGAAUGCUAAUACCUCAUACGUCCUACGGGAGAAAGCAGGGGAUCUUCGGACCUUGCGCUAAUAGAUGAGCCUAAGUCGGAUUAGCUAGUUGGUGGGGUAAAGGCCUACCAAGGCGACGAUCUGUAGCGGGUCUGAGAGGAUGAUCCGCCACACUGGGACUGAGACACGGCCCAGACUCCUACGGGAGGCAGCAGUGGGGAAUAUUGGACAAUGGGCGCAAGCCUGAUCCAGCCAUGCCGCGUGUGUGAAGAAGGCCUUAUGGUUGUAAAGCACUUUAAGCGAGGAGGAGGCUACUUUAGUUAAUACCUAGAGAUAGUGGACGUUACUCGCAGAAUAAGCACCGGCUAACUCUGUG